RNAcentral lists this long non-coding RNA (952 nucleotides) under Ananas comosus (pineapple). RNAcentral describes it as "long non-coding RNA (ACOM_LNC025369)". Lineage: Eukaryota; Viridiplantae; Streptophyta; Magnoliopsida; Poales; Bromeliaceae. The record is from RNAcentral.
AAUUAUGAUUACUAGUAUAAUAAUCCGUACGGUAUAACGAAUCGAUCGAUAAUUAGAAAAAAAAACGACGACAAAAAAAUAGAAAACGAUAAUAAAAGAAACGACGAUAAAGGAUAAGAUUCAUUUUGCCGAUGAAGAAAACUGAAAGAAGAGAAAGAAAAACAGUUCGGUUCAAUAUAGAGAUGUCACCUGAUUCGGUUCAAGCCAAAAAAAAGGUUGUCUUGAUUUGAUUAAAAUAAAGAAAGACCAAAAUCAGGUUCAUUUCAAGCAAAAAAAAGAUAAAAACAUAUAGAAAAUUUCAGCUGGUUCGAGAAAGCCCACAUUUAAUAAAAUUCCGAUGGAAAAAGAAUUUUACGCCCUCCAGAAUUUAAUUUAUAAAAAAAAUAAAUUUUUUUUACAUUUGUUUAGUCUAGUUGAAAAAAAAAUAAAAAAUUAUUAUAUAUAUUUAUUUUUAUUAUAUAUAUUAUAUAUUAGAAAAAACUUCAAAGACCAUUCCUGUGAUUUCGUAUUUUUUAUUUUAUACUUUAUGGUUUAAAGUGUAUCAAUUUAGUACCUGUGAUUUCUUUUUUUUUUUAUUAUUCCUUCCACUAUUUUUUUUCGUUAAAUCAAUGACAAAGUUAAAAUUAAAAGAUAUUAAAGUAAAUAUUCGAUAAACCUAGAUUGGGUAUCUGAAGUUUUUUGUAUAUAAUUUAACGAAAUGUUAACGGAGAACCCGCCGAAAAGAAAAAAAAGAAACCACAGGGUAGUAAUUUGAUGCAAUUUAAACCGCAGGGUAUUAAAGUGAGAAAGUGCAAAAUCAUAAAAGUAGUAUUUGAAGUUUGCCCUACAUAUUAAUAAAUUAUUAUACUAUAUAUAUUAUUAUUAUAUUUUUUUUAUAAAUUAAUAUAUUUAAAAUAUAUUUUACAAUAAGUAUGUAAUAUAAUGCAUAAUUAUACUAUAUUAUAUAUAUAAU